RNAcentral lists this ribosomal RNA (69 nucleotides) under uncultured eukaryote. RNAcentral describes it as "partial small subunit ribosomal RNA". The record is from RNAcentral.
CUAGGGUAGGGUCGGUGAUCGGGGCUAAGUCGUAACAAGGUAGCAGUAGRUGAACCUGCAGAAGGAUCA